RNAcentral lists this ribosomal RNA (257 nucleotides) under uncultured bacterium. RNAcentral describes it as "partial 16S ribosomal RNA". It matches the Rfam family "Bacterial small subunit ribosomal RNA", at positions 524 to 780 of the family's 1533-position model. The record is from RNAcentral.
UACGAAGGGGGCUAGCGUUGUUCGGAAUUACUGGGCGUAAAGCGCGCGCAGGCGGUCUUCCAAGUCAGUGGUGAAAGCCCGGAGCUCAACUCCGGAACUGCCAUUGAAACUGUUAGACUUGAGGAUGAGAGAGGUGAGUGGAAUUCCCAGUGUAGAGGUGAAAUUCGUAGAUAUCGAGAGGAACACCGGCGGCGAAGGCGGCCAACUGGACGAACACUGACGCUGAGGAGCGAAAGCGUGGGGAGCGAACAGGAUUA